CGUGAAAUUCCGUCGGAAUCUGGGAGGACCAUCUCCUAAGGCUAAAUACUCUCUAGUGACCGAUAGUGAACCAGUACCGUGAGGGAAAGGUGAAAAGCACCCCGGAAGGGGAGUGAAAUAGAACCUGAAACCGUGUGCUUACAAGUAGUCAGAGCCCGUUAAUGGGUGAUGGCGUGCCUUUUGUAGAAUGAACCGGCGAGUUACGAUUUGAUGCAAGGUUAAGCAGUAAAUGUGGAGCCGUAGCGAAAGCGAGUCUGAAUAGGGCGUUUAGUAUUUGGUCGUAGACCCGAAACCAGGUGAUCUACCCUUGGUCAGGUUGAAGUUCAGGUAACACUGAAUGGAGGACCGAACCGACUUACGUUGAAAAGUGAGCGGAUGAACUGAUGGUAGCGGAGAAAUUCCAAUCGAACCUGGAGAUAGCUGGUUCUCUCCGAAAUAGCUUUAGGGCUAGCCUCAAGUGAUGAUUAUUGGAGGUAGAGCACUGUUUGGACGAGGGGCCCCUCUCGGGUUACCGAAUUCAGACAAACUCCGAAUGCCAAUUAAUUUAACUUGGGAGUCAGAACAUGGGUGAUAAGGUCCGUGUUCGAAAGGGAAACAGCCCAGACCACCAGCUAAGGUCCCAAAAUAUAUGUUAAGUGGAAAAGGAUGUGGCGUUGCCCAGACAACUAGGAUGUUGGCUUAGAAGCAGCCAUCAUUUAAAGAGUGCGUAAUAGCUCACUAGUCGAGUGACACUGCGCCGAAAAUGUACCGGGGCUAAACAUAUUACCGAAGCUGUGGAUUGUCCUUUGGACAAUGGUAGGAGAGCGUUCUAAGGGCGUUGAAG
RNAcentral lists this ribosomal RNA (823 nucleotides) under Staphylococcus aureus. RNAcentral's name for it is "partial 23S ribosomal RNA". It matches the Rfam family "Bacterial large subunit ribosomal RNA", at positions 425 to 1255 of the family's 2925-position model. Lineage: Bacteria; Bacillati; Bacillota; Bacilli; Caryophanales; Staphylococcaceae. The record is from RNAcentral.